This 375-nucleotide ribosomal RNA is filed under the name uncultured Streptococcus sp. RNAcentral describes it as "bacterial SSU rRNA". It matches the Rfam family "Bacterial small subunit ribosomal RNA", at positions 1003 to 1374 of the family's 1533-position model. The record is from RNAcentral. Lineage: Bacteria; Bacillati; Bacillota; Bacilli; Lactobacillales; Streptococcaceae.
GAUAGAGGGUGGCUCGAAGAGAGCCGUAACACAGGUGCUGCAUGGCUGUCGUCAGCUCGUGUCGUGAGAUGUUGGUUAAGUCCGCAACGAGCGCAACCCCUAUUGUUAGUUGCCAUCAUUCAGUUGGGCACUCUAGCGAGACUGCCGGUAAUAAACCGGAGGAAGGUGGGGAUGACGUCAAAUCAUCAUGCCCCUUAUGACCUGGGCUACACACGUGCUACAAUGGUUGGUACAACGAGUUGCGAGUCGGUGACGGCGAGCUAAUCUCUUAAAGCCAAUCUCAGUUCGGAUUGUAGGCUGCAACUCGCCUACAUGAAGUCGGAAUCGCUAGUAAUCGCGGAUCAGCACGCCCGCGGUCGAAUACGUUCCGGCCUU